GAUGAACGCUGGCGGCGUGCCUAAUACAUGCAAGUCGAGCGAACGGACGAGAAGCUUGCUUCUCUGAUGUUAGCGGCGGACGGGUGAGUAACACGUGGAUAACCUACCUAUAAGACUGGGAUAACUUCGGGAAACCGUAGCUAAUACCGGAUAAUAUUUUGAACCGCAUGGUUCAAAAGUGAAAGACGGUCUUGCUGUCACUUAUAGAUGGAUCCGCGCUGCAUUAGCUAGUUGGUAAGGUAACGGCUUGCCAAGGGAACGAUGCAUAGCCGACCUGAGAGGGUGAUCGGCCACACGGGAACUUGGACACGCUCAAGGCUCCUAAGAGAGGGAGCAGUAGGGAACCUUACGCAAUGGGCGAGAACAUGACGCAGUAACGCGGCGUCAGUGAUGAAGGUCUUGCGAUCGUAAAACUCUGUUAUUAGGGAAGAACAUCUGUGUAAGUAAAUGUGCAGAUCUUGACGGUACUUAAUAAGAAAGCACCGGCUAACUACGUG
This 497-nucleotide ribosomal RNA is filed under the name uncultured bacterium. RNAcentral's name for it is "partial 16S ribosomal RNA". It matches the Rfam family "Bacterial small subunit ribosomal RNA", at positions 28 to 507 of the family's 1533-position model. The record is from RNAcentral.